RNAcentral lists this ribosomal RNA (346 nucleotides) under uncultured soil bacterium. RNAcentral describes it as "bacterial SSU rRNA". It matches the Rfam family "Bacterial small subunit ribosomal RNA", at positions 26 to 371 of the family's 1533-position model. The record is from RNAcentral.
AGAUUGAACGCUAGCGGGAUGCUUUACACAUGCAAGUCGAACGGCAGCGCGGACUUCGGUCUGGCGGCGAGUGGCGAACGGGUGAGUAAUAUAUCGGAACGUGCCCAGUAGCGGGGGAUAACUACGCGAAAGCGUGGCUAAUACCGCAUACGCCCUACGGGGGAAAGGGGGGGAUCGCAAGACCUCUCACUAUUGGAGCGGCCGAUAUCAGAUUAGCUAGUUGGUGAGGUAAAGGCUCACCAAGGCGAACGAUCUGUAGCUGGUUUGAGAGGACGACCAGCCACACUGGGACUGAGACACGGCCCAGACUCCGUACGGGAGGCAGCAGGUGGGGGAAUUUUGGGAC